This 542-nucleotide transfer RNA is filed under the name uncultured cyanobacterium. RNAcentral describes it as "partial miscellaneous RNA". The stretch from base 212 to 284 matches the Rfam family "tRNA". The record is from RNAcentral. Lineage: Bacteria; Bacillati; Cyanobacteriota.
CAGGGAGACAACAAAAUGUUUAAUAUUAUUAUUUUGUCACCUUAGGUCGAUCGGUAUCUCACGUUCUUAAUUAAUUAAGAAUUUCAUUUCCUAAGUUUUUCUAGGUCACACCCAUUAUUUUUCCUGGGCCAUUAGCUCAGGUGGUUAGAGCGCACCCCUGAUAAGGGUGAGGUCCCUGGUUCAAGUCCAGGAUGGCCCAUAUCUCUAUGUUGGGGGUAUAGCUCAGUUGGUAGAGCGCCUGCUUUGCAAGCAGGAUGUCAGCGGUUCGAGUCCGCUUACCUCCACUGAUUACCACCUCUUCCAUAAUCUUUAGAAAGGAAAUGUUUUGAGUCGUGAUCAAAUUCUGAACGAAUCUAGCUUCCUAAUGAAAGCAUUAAGAUGCUGGACUCAUUGAAUUCAUUUCAUUGUUUUCAGAGAACCUUGACAACUGCAUAGAUUAUUUUUUUAAAGACAAUAAGCAUCUUUAAUGAUGCAGAUUUUUUAUUUGUGCGAAUGCAUUAAUAACAAUUCUAUUAAGCUGAUGCUUCAAUUUUGAAGUUAUU